This is a long non-coding RNA of Diabrotica virgifera virgifera (western corn rootworm), 1067 nucleotides long. RefSeq lists it as uncharacterized. The record is from RefSeq and is a predicted model, not a curated record. The transcript is spliced from 2 exons. Lineage: Eukaryota; Metazoa; Arthropoda; Insecta; Coleoptera; Chrysomelidae.
CGCAAAUAAAUAAUAGAAAAUUACUUUUAAUGGCACGAAAAAUUGCUACUAUUAAAAAUACACGAUACACACACACACACAGCAAAGUAAAUCCCAGCUCCAGUUUAGAACAAGUUUUUUUUUCUUUCUAAAAUAGAAUAUAACUACCCUACAUCUUAAAAAGUCGUAAAAAUUACAAGAGUCGUAAAAAUUAAUUAGUUCAUAUCAGCCCUAGACAAAUACUAGAGAAACGAAACUUACGGCAUGCUUAAUUAUGAAACCUCAACUCAUGUACCCAAUUUUUAAAAACACAAAUCCUCCGAAUUGUAUUUUGCAUAGACUUUACUCGAUACAUUUUUUAGUGUACACCACCGUGAAAACAACAAGAAUCUACAGGUCGAGCAAGUCUCGUAAAUUUCACGAUUGCGAGCCACGCUUCACGCAACCGUGUUUGCGUACUUGUGUUUCAAGUUGCGUGGUCGUACGGAGUUAUAUUUACCAAAUUUAAAUAUAAUCGUUUUCAAAAUUAAAUCAAUAUGUCAAUAUCAUAGAUAAAUAAUAUAGUAUUACGGCUACUGGGUGUAAAAGAUAAAUCUUAUUCUAUCUGUUCUUAAUGAGUUUUAGAUAAUUUUAGUUGUAUUUCUUUGUAAUUUUGUGUUGUACAAAGAUUAAUUUAACAUUUUCUCUGGAAGUAUUAAUUUAGAAAGAUAAUAUGCUUCAUUGGUGUUGUGUUUUGAAGUGUGAAAUGUGAUAAGUCAAGAUAAAGUUCACUUUUAAACUGAACUAAAUAAGGUAUCUGAGAGACAACAAUGGUUAAAUGCAAUACAAUGUACAGGUUUUACUAGCGAAAUGAAAAUUUUCCUGUCCUGUCUGCUGUAAUCAUUUUAUAUCUGGAAAACCAGCCGACUUAAUAGAUAAUAACAAUCUCCAGAUUGGGUUCCUUCAAUAAAUAUGGUCUAUAAACACAAUGAAAUAAGUUCCCCAAAAUCUAAAAUGGAGUGGUAUCAAAGGAGAAUUAAAGGGAAAAAUAUUCAUAUUGAAAUUAUUUAUAAGGCACUGGACUGUCUUAAAUUCUACAAUAAUACUAG